RNAcentral lists this transfer-messenger RNA (283 nucleotides) under Clostridiaceae bacterium. RNAcentral describes it as "partial transfer-messenger RNA". It matches the Rfam family "transfer-messenger RNA", at positions 71 to 374 of the family's 374-position model. From Rfam's summary of the family: Bacterial tmRNA, also known as 10Sa RNA or SsrA, is named for its dual tRNA and mRNA-like properties. The record is from RNAcentral. Lineage: Bacteria; Bacillati; Bacillota; Clostridia; Eubacteriales; Clostridiaceae.
AAACGAGGACUUAAAUUAAACGCUAACAAUAAUAGCAAUUUAGCUUACGCAGCUUAAUUUAAGCUGCCGUCCUGCCUGGGAGCACCACGGCCCGGGAUAGGGCGUCGGAAGUGGUGAACGUGACACGACAAAGCUUUGAGUCGUGCAUGACAAAUGAAGCUACUGAAGCUGUAAGCCUGUUCAUGGGCGUGCAGCGGAGGGAAUGACAAAACAUGAACUGCACCCGGAGAUGCUCUUGUGAAUACGGUUUCGGACGCGGGUUCGAGUCCCGCCGCCUCCACCA